CAGUGAUCAGAAGCGAGAAUGUUGACAUGAGUAGCGACAAACAGGGUGAGAGACCCUGUCGCCGAAAGUCCAAGGGUUCCUGCUUAAAGCUAAUCUGAGCAGGGUAAGCCGGCCCCUAAGGCGAGGCCGAAAGGCGUAGUCGGUGGGAACCAGGUUAAUAUUCCUGGGCCAGGAGAUGGUGACGGAUCACAGAGGUUGUUCGGUCUUAACGGAUUGAUCGGGCCACUGAGUGGUUCCUGGAAAUAGCCCUCCACAAGACCGUACCCUAAACCGACACAGGUGGACUGGUAGAGAAUACCAAGGCGCUUGAGAGAACCACAUUUAAGGAACUCGGCAAAAUACCUCCGUAAGUUCGCGAGAAGGAGGCCCUGUUUGUACGCAAGUAUGGGCGGGGGGCACAAACCAGGGGGUGGCGACUGUUUACUAAAAACACAGGGCUCUGCGAAGCCGUAAGGCGACGUAUAGGGUCUGACGCCUGCCCGGUGCCGGAAGGUUAAAAGGAGAUGUGCAAGCAUUGAAUUGAAGCCCCGGUAAACGGCGGCCGUAACUAUAACGGUCCUAAGGUAGCGAAAUUCCUUGUCGGGUAAGUUCCGACCUGCACGAAUGGCGUAACGACUUCCCCGCUGUCUCAAAUGUGGACUCAGCGAAAUUGAAUUGUCUGUGAAGAUGCAGACUUCCCGCGGUUAGACGGAAAGACCCCAUGCACCUUUACUAUAGCUUCGCACUGGCAUCAGGAUUGUGAUGUGCAGGAUAGGUGGUAGGCAUUGAAACCGGGACGCCAGUUCCGGUGGAGCCAUCCUUGAGAUACCACCCUUCGCACUCUUGAUGUCUAACCGCGGCCCGUUAUCCGGGUCCGGGACCCUGCGUGGUGGGUAGUUUGACUGGGGCGGUCGCCUCCCAAAAAGUAACGGAGGCGCGCGAAGGUUGGCUCAGAGCGGUCGGAAAUCGCUCGUUGAGUGCAAUGGCAGAAGCCAGCCUGACUGCAAGACUGACAAGUCGAGCAGAGACGAAAGUCGGCCAUAGUGAUCCGGUGGUCCCGAGUGGAAGGGCCAUCGCUCAACGGAUAAAAGGUACGCUGGGGAUAACAGGCUGAUGAUGCCCAAGAGUCCAUAUCGACGGCAUCGUUUGGCACCUCGAUGUCGGCUCAUCUCAUCCUGGGGCUGGAGCAGGUCCCAAGGGUAUGGCUGUUCGCCAUUUAAAGAGGUACGUGAGCUGGGUUUAGAACGUCGUGAGACAGUUCGGUCCCUAUCUGCCGUGGGUGUAGGAUACUUGAGAGGAGUUGCCCCUAGUACGAGAGGACCGGGGUGAACGUUCCACUGGUGGACCAGUUGUCGUGCCAACGGCAGUGCUGGGUAGCUAUGAACGGACAGGAUAAACGCUGAAGGCAUCUAAGCGUGAAGCCCCCCUCAAAACAAGGUAUCCCUUGAGAGCCGUGGAAGACCACCACGUCGAUAGGCCGGAGAUGUAAGUGCAGCAAUGCAUUCAGUUGACCGGUACUAAUGGCUCGAU
RNAcentral lists this ribosomal RNA (1509 nucleotides) under metagenome. RNAcentral's name for it is "bacterial LSU rRNA". It matches the Rfam family "Bacterial large subunit ribosomal RNA", at positions 1276 to 2913 of the family's 2925-position model. The record is from RNAcentral.